AGUGGAGUAUGUGGUUUAAUUCGAAGCAACGCGAAGAACCUUACCAGGGCUUGACAUCCCUUGAAGCAGCUAGAGAUAGCUGUGUCCUUCGGGACAAGGAGACAGGUGCUGCAUGGCUGUCGUCAGCUCGUGUCGUGAGAUGUUGGGUUAAGUCCCGCAACGAGCGCAACCCUCGCCUUUAGUUGCCAGCAUUCAGUUGGGCACUCUAGAGGGACUGCCGGUGUCAAACCGGAGGAAGGUGGGAUGACGUCAAGUCCUCAUGGCCUUUAUGUCUAGGGCUACACACGUACUACAAUGGCCGGUACAAAGGGCAGCCACUCAGCGAUGAGGCGCUAAUCCCAUAAAGCCGGUCUCAGUCCGGAUCGCAGUCUGCAACUCGACUGCGUGAAGUUGGAAUCGCUAGUAAUCGUAGAUCAGCAUGCUACGGUGAAUACGUUCCCGGGCCUU
Molecule: ribosomal RNA, 447 nt
Filed under: uncultured Desulfovibrio sp.
Lineage: Bacteria; Pseudomonadati; Thermodesulfobacteriota; Desulfovibrionia; Desulfovibrionales; Desulfovibrionaceae
Description: bacterial SSU rRNA
Rfam family: Bacterial small subunit ribosomal RNA
Source: RNAcentral